RNAcentral lists this ribosomal RNA (502 nucleotides) under uncultured bacterium. RNAcentral describes it as "bacterial SSU rRNA". It matches the Rfam family "Bacterial small subunit ribosomal RNA", at positions 28 to 526 of the family's 1533-position model. The record is from RNAcentral.
GACGAACGCUGGCGGCGUGCUUAACACAUGCAAGUCGAGCGGAAAGGCCUCCUUCGGGGGGUACUCGAGCGGCGAACGGGUGAGUAACACGUGAGUAAUCUGCCCUCCACUCUGGGAUAACUGCUUGAAAGGGUGGCUAAUACCGGGUAUUCACAUGUCUGCGCAUGCGGGUGUGUGGGAAGGGUUUCUGGUGGGGGAUGUGCUCGCGGCCUAUCAGCUUGUUGGUGGGGUAAUGGCCUACCAAGGCUUUGACGGGUAGCCGGCCUGAGAGGGUGACCGGCCACACUGGGACUGAGACACGGCCCAGACUCCUACGGGAGGCAGCAGUGGGGAAUAUUGGACAAUGGGCGGAAGCCUGAUCCAGCAACGCCGCGUGAGGGAUGACGGCCUUCGGGUUGUAAACCUCUUUCAGCACAGACGAAGCUGGUCCCACGUGUGGGGCGGGUGACGGUAUGUGCAGAAGAAGCACCGGCCAACUACGUGCCAGCCGCCGCCGUAACAC